This 447-nucleotide ribosomal RNA is filed under the name uncultured soil bacterium. RNAcentral's name for it is "bacterial SSU rRNA". It matches the Rfam family "Bacterial small subunit ribosomal RNA", at positions 26 to 516 of the family's 1533-position model. The record is from RNAcentral.
AGAACGAACGCUGGCGGCAUGCCUAACACAUGCAAGUCGAACGAGACCUUCGGGUCUAGUGGCACACGGGUGCGUAACGCGUGGGAAUCUGCCCUUGGGUUCGGGAUAACAGUUGGAAACGACUGCUAAUACCGGAUGAUGUCUUCGGACCAAAGAUUUAUCGCCCAAGGAUGAGCCCCGCGUAGGAUUAGCUUGUUGGUGAGGUAAGAGCUCACCAAGGCGACGAUCCUUAGCUGGUCUGAGAGGAUGAUCAGCCACACUGGGACUGAGACACGGCCCAGACUCCUACGGGAGGCAGCAGUGGGGAAUAUUGGACAAUGGGCGAAAGCCUGAUCCAGCAAUGCCGCGUGAGUGAUGAAGGCCUUAGGGUGUAAAGCUAUUUACCCGGGAUGAUAAUGAACAGUAACCGGAGAAGUAACGCCCCGGACUAACUCCGUGCCAGCAGGC